UUUUUAUUAGCUGAGGGUAUUGUGGUAAAUUCAACCUGUUGUCCACCUUCUGCUUACUCCACGUGGUUGUGUGUCCUUGGGUUUAUUGUGCGUGACUCCAUGUCUGCUUUCCACGAAUCUUCAUCUAUUGAAAAGGAAAAAGGCAGAGCUAUUUCUCUUCAAUCUUUUCAAGUACUCUUCAAUUUCAAGCGUACCAAAAAUGAAGAGGCAUAACACUUGAAGAGGCCCUACUACUAAAGUAAUUCCACAUGACAAGUUUCCGUUUCAUUGUUAGAAUGAAUUUUUUUCCAGUUUAGAGAAUAUUAGUUUAUUCAUAGAUGUAUACGUGGUUAUAGUGUCAUUGUGUUAUUUGGCAACUCUUCCCCUCUAUGUGGGGAAAACUCAAAUAACCAUAUUGGUUCCUUCAGAGAUGUAUAGUUAUUAAUUAAUAACAUUCAAGUAGCAUGAGGUGGUUAUAGUGUCACAAUUAUGUUAUUGGCAAAAUUGAUGUAUUUAAGCUAUCA
Solanum tuberosum (potato) is the source of this 503-nucleotide long non-coding RNA. RefSeq lists it as uncharacterized. NCBI's taxonomy places the organism in Eukaryota, Viridiplantae, Streptophyta, Magnoliopsida, Solanales, Solanaceae. The transcript is spliced from 2 exons. The record is from RefSeq and is a predicted model, not a curated record.